GCUCUCACGGUGGACACCAUGGACGCUAUCCGGCUGACUACGGAUCAGAAGGUUGCAGGUUCGAAUCCUGCCGAGCGCA
RNAcentral lists this transfer RNA (79 nucleotides) under Streptomyces iconiensis. RNAcentral's name for it is "tRNA-Arg". Lineage: Bacteria; Bacillati; Actinomycetota; Actinomycetes; Kitasatosporales; Streptomycetaceae. The record is from RNAcentral.